GACGAACGCUGGCGGCGUGCUUAACACAUGCAAGUCGAACGGAAAGGCCCUGCUUUUGUGGGGUGCUCGAGUGGCGAACGGGUGAGUAACACGUGAGUAACCUGCCCUUGACUUUGGGAUAACUUCAGGAAACUGGGGCUAAUACCGGAUAGGAGCUCCUGCUGCAUGGUGGGGGUUGGAAAGUUUCGGCGGUUGGGGAUGGACUCGCGGCUUAUCAGCUUGUUGGUGGGGUAGUGGCUUACCAAGGCUUUGACGGGUAGCCGGCCUGAGAGGGUGACCGGCAACAUUGGGACUGAGAUACGGCCCAGACUCCUACGGGAGGAAGCAGUGGGGAAUAUUGCACAAUGGGCGGAAGCCUGAUGCAGAAACGCCGCGUGCGGGAUGACGGCCUUCGGGUUGUAAACCGAUUUCGCCUGUGACGAAGCGUGAGUGACGGUAAUGGGUAAAGAAGCACCGGCUAACUACGUGC
This 469-nucleotide ribosomal RNA is filed under the name uncultured bacterium. Its description in RNAcentral is "partial 16S ribosomal RNA". It matches the Rfam family "Bacterial small subunit ribosomal RNA", at positions 28 to 508 of the family's 1533-position model. The record is from RNAcentral.